UAAUAUAGUGAUUCAACAGUUCUAUACGUUACUCCGUGUUCAACAUGCUAAGAAAAAUUAAGAUAUGAGCACUGAGGAUGUAGUGAAAUGUCAAUUACAUCAGCUGGGAAGUUUCUCCCAAGAACAGGGCUGCUCACUCAUUUGGCAAGACCAUCAGAAGCUGAAAACAGACAUAACCUCAAUGUAUACUGGAAAACAUGGAGAGGUUUGGCUCGUUAUUGGCAAAGAGAAAAAAAAAAAAAUAACAUCAGCCUUAAAGAGAAGCAGAGUCCAAGAGAAUGACUGAGUCAAGGUAAUGGUGGAGUAGAGGGUGUCAGCAUGGUGAGAACUCAGUCCCAGGAAGCCAUGUACACGCAAGGGCCCGUUUCUUCCCCACCCAUUGCCUACCAGUCCAAAGCUACUUGAGUUCUGGGAAUGGCCACACUGUGCGAGCAACAGUGACACUGGCAGGAACACAUUCCAUUUGUCUUAUUUGGUUAAGCAUCUGCCAGCCCCAGAUCAGAUUUGCCUGGGUCAGCACCUUCAAGUGACACACAGGUCCCUCUGGCUUACUUGCCUGCAUAUUUGACAACUCAGCUUUCCACAAGACUGCCUCCCCAAAGCCUGGCCCAACCCUUUCAGUCUAGAGCAGGCACCUCACACGUUGGUGCUACCAUGGGUUACCUGGGCCCUGUACUAGGAACAGAGAGUUGCCAUGGGCACCAGAUCAUGCCACGGUGAUCUUGAGGCCAUGCCGACACGGAUUUCUUUUUGGGAUUUCAGUCUGAGGAGGAAUGCAAAGGAAGAAUGUAAGACAUAAACUCAUAGCAAAGCAGGAGAACAGAGAGGCGAGGGGCAGUAGAGUGAGUUACCAUAUGAGGGGGUCAGAAUGAGUGGAUCUCUGUCAAAACAAAGUGUUGAUCAAAAUGCAUAUUUGUAGGUCUUAUCUCUUUGUGCACUAAGAUAAAUUUUAUCAGUUUUAUCUUAAGAAUAUUAUUUCAAUCUAAAUUUUGAAGCCUUUUGGGGUUUCCAAAAUGAGUUGUUUCCUCUGAAGAUGGCUGUACUUGAUUCAAGAUGUCACUGAAAUGGAUACUAAGAGGCAUCAAUGGUCAUGGCCAUGAGUUUUUCUUUUGGUCACCCUUUCUUCAUGAGGCCAGUAGGAGCGGCACUGAUCCUGAUCCCUUGGCCUGAGGCUGGGAGUCUUCAGUAUCAAUACAACCUCAUCCCCCAGAGCUGGUACAGAUUGAGCUCCUACAGGACAUGGGAGGAUCACAGAGAGGCGCCUGCCAUCUGCAGCCCAGCCUGGCAGAGGAGGGAUGCGGAUGGUUGGGAUUUUAGGAAGCAAAGAGGAGCAGAAUGGAGGACGAAUGGAAAAUGUGGACGGGAGCAGGAGAGCCUCGCCGAACAAGCACCUCCAUGAGGGUCUGGCCGAAGCAGGGGCUGUGGGCUGGGCAUUGGAGGAGCUGGAUGGAGGGGCGAUGGGAGAUCACAUCAGAAGUGCUCAGUGGUCACAGGGAGAGAAGGGGUUGAGGAUCAGUCUGAGGUCCCCAGCUUUUUGUGGCUGAUCCGUGUCCCCCAGACAGGUACGUGGACAUCCUGACUCCUGGUGCCUGUCAGUGUGACCUUAUUUAAAAAGAGGGCAUUUGUAUGGGGCGCCUGGGUGGCGCAGUCGGUUAAGCGUCCGACUUCAGCCAGGUCACGAUCUCGCGGUCCGUGAGUUCGAGCCC
Long non-coding RNA from Leopardus geoffroyi (Geoffroy's cat), 1706 nucleotides. RefSeq lists it as uncharacterized. The record is from RefSeq and is a predicted model, not a curated record. Lineage: Eukaryota; Metazoa; Chordata; Mammalia; Carnivora; Felidae. The transcript has 4 exons.